RNAcentral lists this ribosomal RNA (518 nucleotides) under uncultured bacterium. RNAcentral's name for it is "partial 16S ribosomal RNA". It matches the Rfam family "Bacterial small subunit ribosomal RNA", at positions 355 to 866 of the family's 1533-position model. The record is from RNAcentral.
UGGGGAAUUUUGGACAAUGGGCGAAAGCCUGAUCCAGCAAUGCCGCGUGUGUGAAGAAGGCCUUCGGGUUGUAAAGCACUUUUGUCCGGAAAGAAAUGGCUCUGGUUAAUACCUGGGGUCGAUGACGGUACCGGAAGAAUAAGGACCGGCUAACUACGUGCCAGCAGCCGCGGUAAUACGUAGGGUCCAAGCGUUAAUCGGAAUUACUGGGCGUAAAGCGUGCGCAGGCGGUUGUGCAAGACCGAUGUGAAAUCCCCGAGCUUAACUUGGGAAUUGCAUUGGUGACUGCACGGCUAGAGUGUGUCAGAGGGGGGUAGAAUUCCACGUGUAGCAGUGAAAUGCGUAGAGAUGUGGAGGAAUACCGAUGGCGAAGGCAGCCCCCUGGGAUAACACUGACGCUCAUGCACGAAAGCGUGGGGAGCAAACAGGAUUAGAUACCCUGGUAGUCCACGCCCUAAACGAUGUCAACUAGUUGUUGGGGAUUCAUUUCCUUAGUAACGUAGCUAACGCGUGAAGUU